This 1236-nucleotide long non-coding RNA is filed under the name Marmota monax (woodchuck). The record is from RNAcentral. Lineage: Eukaryota; Metazoa; Chordata; Mammalia; Rodentia; Sciuridae.
GAAUAAAUGAUGCUGGUGUCGGAGACCAAGAGGAGAGGACCUGACUUCAAAGGACGCAUCUCUGGCAGCACUGUGUAGAGGAAGCAUCACUCCCCACGGGGACAGCCUGGGCCGACUGGACCUCGCUCAGGCUGCCCCCCAGGCCUGAGCAGACGGAUUUUAGACAGCACUGGCCUGAGCAUCCCGAGACCCAACCGGUAUUGGAACCUAGUGUCCCCUUGUGGUUGACAGCAGGAGGCUGUCCCCUCCACAAGCCUUUCAGCUUUCCCAUCUUCAGACGAGAGGGUUGCACCUGAGACCUCACGGCAUGGGGCGUCCCUUCUCUGCAGGUACUCUGAGUUGUAUCACCCACGUGUUCUUCUCAAUGUGAUGAUAAAUUUCUGGUCAGUGGAGAGGACUGUUAUCAUUGAGCUCUUUGGGAUACAGAUGACAGAAUGACAACUCCUUCUGGGUUAAGUAAAAGGGACAUCUACUCGCUCGAAUAACUGGAAAUCCGCCUUUAGGCAUGGCUGGAUCCAGAAACUGUCACGGUAUUGUCAGGACUCAGUAAUUUAAUUCUCAUCUUUUGUCUCCCCUGCAAUGGGCUUUGUUUCCAGGGAGUCCUUCCUCUUAUAAUGGCAGGAAAUUGUAAGGAAAAAAGGGCAUGUGUCUUCAAAUAACUUAGUCUUUGCUGCCAGGUGCUGUGGUGCAUGCCUGAAAUCCCAGCAACUCAGGAGGCUGAGGCACGAGGAUUGCAGGAUGGAGGCCAGGAUCCACAACUUAGCAGGAACUUGUCUCAAAAUGAAAAAUGGCAAAUGGCUGGGGACCCUGGAUUUAAUCCCAGCACUGCUGAAACAACAAACAGAUAGAUAAGUACUUGGAAUCUUUUCAGUCAGAAAAUAAAAAUUCUACAUGAAGCCCUGUGAAGAGCCUGGGACACAGAGGCCAGGUGGCCUCUUUGGACCUGCCUGGCCUUUGCACACCAGGAGCUCGGACUCAGGUGACAAUGAAAAGUGAGUCAGUGGGAGACACUAGGGUGGGGUGUGGACUUCAGGCAACAGGAGACAAGGUCCUGCCUUCGAGGGGCAUCUGUGACUCAAGGGCCACCAGACUUGUGACAUUCAUAGUUGCUGUGCCACAAAUGAACCCUACUCUGGGUUAACCAGAGCCUCUAAUUUUUCAAGAGAACCCAGACGUCCAUAUUUUUAUGCAAAGUCCCCUGAAUAAAUAUUGACUCAAAAAAAAAUACUGUGCCAG